CUGGUUUUUCUGAGCAGUAGCUAACAUGAUGGAUUGAAAACUGUUUUAAAAUUGUGAUCACUUUAAAAUUCUCAGGGGGUUUUCUAGUCCUGCUUGCAGUCUAGGGGCUUUGUAGAGACGAAUGUGAUCGGGCAUAGCAGCAGUCAGUUUGCAGACAAACAGCUACAGUAAGGUUGGGUUAAUAGGAUUCAGAAUUGUAUGACUGCUGUGACAACUGUGGGGUGCAGCAUGGGCUAAUGAGCAGAGUACCUGGACUGGGAGUCAGGACACCUGGGUUUUAUUCCUGGCAUUGCCAUUGACCUGCUGCAAGUCGCCCUUCUAAAUAAGAAACAAAGGACUUGCAAUGUGAUGAAGGAGGCAUUGCUUGAUCUCCUUACUGAGCUCGUGUGCCUGGAGGGGUCUGACUUCACGCAGCACACAGCCAGAACUGGGGGCUGCAGGAUGGAAGCUCAAUGACUGCUCAUUGUUAACAGUGAGUGCUGGCACUGCAGGGACGGUGUAUUGCAGUUAAACACAAGCAGCCAACCCCCUAAUGUCAGUUCUGCUUACUCGGUUCUGCCAAAGGAGUUGCCUGAUGCUAACUACGCACUCAGCAUCCAGAUAGCGCCUGCUCCCCUGGGGCAAUAUAUUGCACUAUUCCAGGGCACUAGCAUUUCCGCAGGAGGCUGAGCAGAGUCUAUGUGGUGACCAUUGUGUAGUGGGAGGAGCACACGUAGACCCAGGACGGUAUUGGAAAUGCAAACGCCACUUGGGGCAGUAUCGACAACUCAUCCCGUCAGCUAUAUGCCUGCUCAAAGGAGAAAUGAUGCAGAAAAAAGGGGACUAUUGCAGCAGACUUUAACCCAAAAUCCUUACAUGAAAAGAAAGUGCUAGACUACAGCAGGAAAUAUCAACUGCCAGCAGCAUCUUGGACCAGUGAGCAGCAUAUUGAAGCAGGGGCAGUCACCUGUGUCAUGGUAAGUUCUGAUCUGGGAUCUUUAUGUGAAGAUGGGGAGGGGGCAGAGUUGCUCUGUAUGAAACGGACUAGCUCCUGUGGUUGAAAAUGUACAAACAAUAACCAGGGACGGCAUUGACUGAACACUACUCAGCUUUCCAUGUUUACAAGAAAUCAACACCACAUUGCGUGCUAUGCAUCGCCUGCCACGCAGUCAAUUAAGAGGAUGGGCCCAGAACUCAAGAGUACUCUCUCUUCCUGGUUCUACCUGAUGUACUAAAACAUUCCUUGGAUGCACCAGAAAUGUGUGUCUCUCAGCAGCAAGAUCUGGGCUAAGAUCAGAAGGAAAAUUGGUCACUUCAGAUAUCUCAGAAGGGGAGUUAAUGGCUAGGCACAUGGGCAGAGAGUAGUGUGCCUAUCUGACCAAUGGGUGAAGGAAGGGGAAUGACUGAUGGGAAAACAAGGUUCUCUCAUUGGCUACAGGCAAAUCAACCAAA
This is a long non-coding RNA of Mauremys reevesii (Reeves's turtle), 1431 nucleotides long. RefSeq lists it as uncharacterized. The transcript is spliced from 4 exons. Lineage: Eukaryota; Metazoa; Chordata; Testudines; Geoemydidae. The record is from RefSeq and is a predicted model, not a curated record.